AUGAACGGGUUCUCGCGCAGCGGCCCAGGCUCUCGGCCAGCACCCGCUGCUCGGGCUCCGCCGCCCCGGGCCCCGCGCCCCGCCCAGCGCGGCCAGUUUGGCCCGCUUCCGCUCCAGGAUCUCGCGCUUCCAGGCGGGCACCGCAGCGCGCGGCCCCGAGCCCGGCCGCCCCAGGGCGGCCAUGCUUCGAACGCGGCCGCGGACGGCUGGACUGAGGGCCGGAGUGGCCGCCGCCGUCGCGGCAGACCUGGGCGCCGCGGCCACGCCCCUCCCGGGCCACCGACCAUUGGGGGAAGCCCGCUCUCCCCGCCCGCGCGGGACGCCCACCUAUGGCAGGAGAGGAGGGCGGGCCCCUCAGGUGACCCUACCGAUUGGACAACACUCUCCUCAACCCCGCCUCCCAAGGGACUUCAUUGGACAACGCCUAUCACCGGAGCCGGCCUCCAUUGGGAAGGCCCCUCGGACACACCCAGGCGCCUCGCGCCGCUCACUGGCGGACCCCACUUCCGCCCCUGCGCUGUCGCCUCCCGGCGUCCCUGCGGGGAGCUGGGUGGGCGGCCCCUAGACCCCGCGCCUCGAGUGACCUUGGCUGAGCUUGGGACUUCCUCACGCUGCCAGCACCGAGGCCGCCUGUUCCAUCCGCUGAGGGUGCAGGAAGGGGGCUGCUCCAAGACCGAAGGCACCCGCGCCCAUGGACGGUGCACAGGCCACACUCUGGCCCGGACCCUGCUUUCACCAGGGGCCCUCCGACCUCCGGCAGGUGCCUGCGGGGCUUCGAAAUGCCAAUUCUGGAGCCCUGAGCAGCCCCAACGAACCAGUUUCUCAGAAAUCGCUAGUUUUUAUAGGCUGCCCAGAUGGGAGCCUCUUACCCCAACCUUUCCAUCCGUGGUCCCCACAAAGCAUGUGCAGGAGCAGGCACAAAGGAAGCAGCCUCUCCCGCCACACGCAAGCAGGCUCACCAGGGCAGGGCCCUGUAUGCUUGGACAGUUCUCCAAUGCAUUAAGAGCCAAAAAAAAAAAAAAAAAAAAAAGCCAGGGUAACGGUGGGCCCCAUAGGGCCGACCCCUGCGUCUUAUCACUCCACCCUGCCGCCACGUUAAGGCUACUCCUCUCCCAUCGGUUGAACUUCCCCCCAUUCAGGCUCCAGAUGCCAUGA
Molecule: long non-coding RNA, 1155 nt
Filed under: Macaca fascicularis (crab-eating macaque)
Lineage: Eukaryota; Metazoa; Chordata; Mammalia; Primates; Cercopithecidae
Description: lncRNA (ENSMFAG00000050542.1)
Source: RNAcentral